Molecule: long non-coding RNA, 519 nt
Filed under: Androctonus crassicauda
Lineage: Eukaryota; Metazoa; Arthropoda; Arachnida; Scorpiones; Buthidae
Source: RNAcentral
GUUGAAAAAGUGUUUUAUGGUGGUAAUCAUCCCCCGCUGGGUAAACAGUUCACCCUAAAUGUCCAGAUGUUGGACACUCCUUUGUGGGUCAUCUCAACUUGUUUUUUUUUUUCCACGUCAGUUUUGUUUCCGUCCUUCAAAGUCUACAGACGUAUGUGAUAUAUCCUCUAUCUCACUCCAACAGGUUAUGGGCCCAGCACGCUUCCACUGCGCUUAGAUAUCUCCAACGAACUCAGCACGAUCACGAAUCGAUCACCACUCUAUUAUCAGUAAAGCCUUUUUUUUUUCAAAUACGAAAUCAAACAUGUCGGAAGCAUCGAAGAUCGAAAAGCUGACCAACGAGAACUACAGCACUUGGAAAAUGCUGAUUGAAGCCGUCUGUGUCGCCAAUAAUACAUGGGACUAUUUAACAACUAAAAUCGAACGACCUAUCGCCGAUAUAAAUGAUCCCAAAACUGUCCAAGCAGCAUCGGAAUGGGACAAGUCAAAUGCCAAGGCGAAGAGCGAUUUAUUACCAUC